GAUGAACGCUGGCGGCGUGCUUAACACAUGCAAGUCGAGCGAAGCAGUUAAGUUGAUUUCUUCGGAUUGAUUCUUGACUGACUGAGCGGCGGACGGGUGAGUAACGCGUGGGUGACCUGCCCCAUACCGGGGGAUAACAGCUGGAAACGGCUGCUAAUACCGCAUAAGCGCACAGAGCUGCAUGGCUCGGUGUGAAAAACUCCGGUGGUAUGGGAUGGGCCCGCGUCUGAUUAGGCAGUUGGCGGGGUAACGGCCCACCAAACCGACGAUCAGUAGCCGGCCGGGGAGGGGGAGCGGGCACAUUGGGACUGAGACACGGCCCAAGCUCCUACGGGAGGCGGCAGUGGGGAAUAUUGCACAAUGGGGGAAACCCUGAUGCAGCGACGCCGAGUGAGCGAAGAAGUAUUUCGGUAUGUAAAGCUCUAUCAGCAGGGAAGAUAAUGACGGUACCUGACUAAGAAGCCCCGGCUAACUACGUGCCAGCAGCCGCCGUAA
This 495-nucleotide ribosomal RNA is filed under the name uncultured bacterium. RNAcentral's name for it is "partial 16S ribosomal RNA". It matches the Rfam family "Bacterial small subunit ribosomal RNA", at positions 28 to 523 of the family's 1533-position model. The record is from RNAcentral.